RNAcentral lists this ribosomal RNA (497 nucleotides) under uncultured bacterium. RNAcentral describes it as "partial 16S ribosomal RNA". It matches the Rfam family "Bacterial small subunit ribosomal RNA", at positions 28 to 507 of the family's 1533-position model. The record is from RNAcentral.
GAUGAACGCUGGCGGCGUGCCUAAUACAUGCAAGUCGAGCGAACAGACGAGGAGCUUGCUCCUCUGACGUUAGCGGCGGAAGGGUGAGUAACACGUGGAUAACCUACCUAUAAGACUGGGAUAACUUCGGGAAACCGGAGCUAAUACCGGAUAAUAUAUUGAACCGCAUGGUUCAAUAGUGAAAGACGGUUUUGCUGUCACUUAUAGAUGGAUCCGCGCCGCAUUAGCUAGUUGGUAAGGUAACGGCUUACCAAGGCAACGAUGCGUAGCCGACCUGAGAGGGUGAUCGGCCACACUGGAACUGGGACACGGUCCAGACUCCUACGGGAGGCAGCAGUAGGGAAUCUUCCGCAAUGGGCGAAGGCUUGACGGAGCAACGCCGCGUGAGUGAUGAAGGUCUUCGGAUCGUAAAACUCUGUUAUUAGGGAAGAACAAAUGUGUAAGUAACUAUGCACGUCUUGACGGUACCUAAUCAGAAAGCCACGGCUAACUACGUG